UACGUAGGGGGCAAGCGUUGUCCGGAAUUAUUGGGCGUAAAGCGCGCGCAGGCGGUCAUUUAAGUUGGGUGUUUAACCCCAGGGCUCAACCCUGGGUCGCACCCAAAACUGGAUGACUUGAGUGCAGAAGAGGAGAGUGGAAUUCCACGUGUAGCGGUGAAAUGCGUAGAGAUGUGGAGGAACACCAGUGGCGAAGGCGACUCUCUGGGCUGUAACUGACGCUGAGGCGCGAAAGCGUGGGGAGCAAACAGG
RNAcentral lists this ribosomal RNA (252 nucleotides) under uncultured bacterium. Its description in RNAcentral is "partial 16S ribosomal RNA". It matches the Rfam family "Bacterial small subunit ribosomal RNA", at positions 524 to 776 of the family's 1533-position model. RNAcentral also lists the same sequence under 1 other name. The record is from RNAcentral.